GACAGAGGGUGCAAACGUUGUUCGGAUUUACUGGGCGUAAAGCGUGUGUAGGCGGCUUGGCAAGUUGGAUGUGAAAGCCCACGGCUCAACCGUGGAAGCGCAUCCAAAACUGCCUCGCUCGAGUCUCGGAGAGGAAGGUGGAAUGCUUGGUGUAGAGGUGAAAUUCGUAGAUAUCAAGCAGAACACCUGCGGCGAAGGCGGCCUUCUGGACGAUGACUGACGCUGAGACACGAAAGCGUGGGGAGCAAACAGG
This 253-nucleotide ribosomal RNA is filed under the name uncultured bacterium. Its description in RNAcentral is "partial 16S ribosomal RNA". It matches the Rfam family "Bacterial small subunit ribosomal RNA", at positions 524 to 776 of the family's 1533-position model. The record is from RNAcentral. RNAcentral also lists the same sequence under 1 other name.